CCUCUAUUCUCUUUCACAGCACACUUUAUUCUUCUUCAUAACUCUUAUUCAUAUAUGAGAAUAACUUUUGGUGUACUUGCUUGAUUAACGUCUACUUCCUCAACGGGGCUGUAAGCUCCACGAGGUGCACAAAGACUUCAUCUCCCAGUCUCCUUUGCGGUUAGAUUGGUACCAGGAGAUUAGCUCUGCCGAUGGGCUGUAACCAGAUGUGGUGUGCAUUACUUCCAAGAACCCAGACCUUCAGAGACCUUGCAGCUUCUGCCUUCGCCAUCUUGAGAUCCUGAGAUACUUCAUGCUAUACAGAAGCCCAGUUUAGUCGACACGAAGGAUAGUCACUGGGCCCCAACAGACAGCCAGUGCCAACUACCAGACAUGUGAGUGAGACCAUCUUGGACCCCUGAGCUUCAGGCAGGUGGUCGAUGAUUACAGCCAGCUGAGGCUGCAAAGGAGUAGCCCAGAUUGUCAACACACAGG
This 474-nucleotide long non-coding RNA is filed under the name Equus caballus (horse). Its description in RNAcentral is "lncRNA (ENSECAG00000044054.1)". Lineage: Eukaryota; Metazoa; Chordata; Mammalia; Perissodactyla; Equidae. The record is from RNAcentral.